Molecule: ribosomal RNA, 462 nt
Filed under: Capnocytophaga granulosa
Lineage: Bacteria; Pseudomonadati; Bacteroidota; Flavobacteriia; Flavobacteriales; Flavobacteriaceae
Description: bacterial SSU rRNA
Rfam family: Bacterial small subunit ribosomal RNA
Source: RNAcentral
GAUGAACGCUAGCGGCAGGCCUAACACAUGCAAGUCGAGGGAGAAGCCCUUCGGGGCAGAAGCCGGCGCACGGGUGCGUAACGCGUAUGCAACCUACCUUUCACAGGGGGAUAGCCCGAAGAAAUUUGGAUUAAUACCCCAUAAUAUUAUUGGAUGGCAUCAUUUGAUAAUUAAAAUUACGAUGGUGAAAGAUGGGCAUGCGUCCUAUUAGCUAGUUGGAGUGGUAACGGCACCCCAAGGCUACGAUAGGUAGGGGUCCUGAGAGGGAGAUCCCCCACACUGGUACUGAGACAGGGACCAGACUCCUACGGGAGGCAGCAGUGAGGAAUAUUGGUCAAUGGUCGGAAGACUGAACCAGCCAUGCCGCGUGCAGGAAGAAUGCCUUAUGGGUUGUAAACUGCUUUUAUAUGGGAAGAAUAAGGAGUACGUGUACUUUGAUGACGGUACCAUAUGAAUAAAGCU